CACUAUUUGGAGUGCUUUAUUUCCAGAAAUUACUGUGUUGAUCGUGAUGAAACUGCGUGCCUGGAAGCUGGCCGAACAUGGAUUUGUCUUCCUUUUGCCUGGGAAGCUCCAUAAAUGCCCACCUGCGCAGCCACUUUUGCC
Brienomyrus brachyistius is the source of this 141-nucleotide long non-coding RNA. RefSeq lists it as uncharacterized. The transcript has 3 exons. NCBI's taxonomy places the organism in Eukaryota, Metazoa, Chordata, Actinopteri, Osteoglossiformes, Mormyridae. The record is from RefSeq and is a predicted model, not a curated record.